AUAAAAUGCUCUCUGACCUUGAAAAGUAUGCUCAAGGUAUUGUUGAAACCAAGGCUAAGGAAGAGGCUGGAAGAGCGUUGAUGCGCAUGAAGGAUAGAUUUGCUACAAUCUUCAGCCAUGAUUCUGAUUCA
Non-coding RNA from Camelina sativa (false flax), 131 nucleotides. Lineage: Eukaryota; Viridiplantae; Streptophyta; Magnoliopsida; Brassicales; Brassicaceae. The record is from RefSeq and is a predicted model, not a curated record.